GUGAGAGAGUGUGUGUGUGUCCUGGAACUGCAGUGGUCUCAGGGCCUUGAGUUGGACAGAACCCUGUUAAAUGCCUUUGCUCAUCUGUGUGCACAGGUCCAACGCGAUGACGACAUACCUCGCUCUAAUCUCGUGAGAGCGAGACGGCUGAAGGUUCCAGAUCGUGCGACCGCGCGUGCGAAGAGCUGGCGAGAGGCGAGGAUGACGGCAGAUCUAAAACUUCACUGGCUAGUGUCUCCGCCAUCAAAUAUGUACCCACAAAUGGAAACACUGUCCGGCUAGCAGGUUCUGUGCUCAGCUCCUCGCUCGGUACCAAGGCAAGACACGGAUCCUCUCCAGCCAUCCUCGGGGCUUCGGGGAUCAGUAGUUGUCCCCGAACAGCUACUUUCUGCACAUUUCCCACCCCGCCUUCACAUGUGAGCAGGGUGUGAGCGUGCAAGGGCCAAUCAGGCGAACUAAUUAUUCAGCGAUUACAAAAACUAGGACCGGUUUUGCCGGGUUUGGUUUCAAGUGCCAGGAGAGAUUAUUAGGAGUUUCUGGAGUUUUUGGCACACCGAAACAAUAAUUGAAAAAUCCUCUUAGUUUUUUAAUUUUAUUUUUUUAAUGUAUUCUGUCGCAAGAUAAUGUCAAAUUAUUUUCCAUGUUUUUAUUUAUUUAUCUA
Long non-coding RNA from Electrophorus electricus (electric eel), 661 nucleotides. NCBI's taxonomy places the organism in Eukaryota, Metazoa, Chordata, Actinopteri, Gymnotiformes, Gymnotidae. The record is from Ensembl.